UGUGUUCAACGUGCCCACGCACUUCAGAGCCAUAAUGACAGUGCACCUUUCAGCACCUGGAAACAGGGCAAACAACGGCAAUCCACGGAGGAUGAGUCUGAGUGUGUGUGUGUUUGACUGUGUGUGUGUGUGCGUGCGUGCGUGUGUGAGCGUGUGUGUGUGUGUGUGCGUGUGUGAGCGUGUGUGUGUGUGUGUCUGUGUGUGUCUGCAUGUGUCUAUAUAUCAGUGUGUGCCUCUCCGUGUGUGCCUGUUCCAUAGCUACAGCUUUUCUAGUAUAAGCCAAUGUUAAUGCAGAAAUUACUUUCAAGCACCCGCUGUCAGACACAUGCCACAGGUGUUACAAAUAAAACUACCGAACUACCAUCAAGCCUGAAUAUUACC
Molecule: long non-coding RNA, 381 nt
Organism: Anguilla rostrata (American eel)
Lineage: Eukaryota; Metazoa; Chordata; Actinopteri; Anguilliformes; Anguillidae
Exons: 2
Source: RefSeq, a predicted model, not a curated record